GGGGAUUUAGCUCAGUGGUAGAGCGCUUGCCUAGGAAGCGCAAGGCCCUGGGUUCGAUCCCCGGCUCCG
Molecule: transfer RNA, 69 nt
Filed under: Rattus norvegicus (Norway rat)
Lineage: Eukaryota; Metazoa; Chordata; Mammalia; Rodentia; Muridae
Rfam family: tRNA
About the family: Transfer RNA (tRNA) molecules are approximately 80 nucleotides in length.
Source: Rfam by way of RNAcentral